GAGGGUAUGGCUCAGUGGUAGAGCUCAUGCUUAGCAUGCAAAAGGUCCUGGGUUCAAUCCCUGUUACCUCC
Molecule: transfer RNA, 71 nt
Filed under: Camelus bactrianus (Bactrian camel)
Lineage: Eukaryota; Metazoa; Chordata; Mammalia; Artiodactyla; Camelidae
Also listed under: 2 other names
Rfam family: tRNA
About the family: Transfer RNA (tRNA) molecules are approximately 80 nucleotides in length.
Source: Rfam by way of RNAcentral